GAUGAACGCUGGCGGCGUGCCUAAUACAUGCAAGUCGAGCGAACGGACGAGAAGCUUGCUUCUCUGAUGUUAGCGGCAGACGGGUGAGUAACACGUGGAUAACCUACCUAUAAGACUGGGAUAACUUCGGGAAACCGGAGCGAAUACCGGAUAAUAUUUUGAACCGCAUGGUUCAAAAGUGAAAGACGGUCUUGCUGUCACUUAUAGAUGGAUCCGCGCUGCAUUAGCUAGUUGGUAAGGUAACGGCUUACCAAGGCAACGAUGCAUAGCCGACCUGAGAGGGUGAUCGGCCACACUGGCACUGAGACACGGUCCAGACUCCUACGGGAGGCAGCAGUCGGGAAUCUUCCGCAAUGGGCGAAAGCCUGACGGAGCAACGCCGCGUGAGUGAUGAAGGUCUUCGGAUCGUAAAACUCUGUUAUUAGGGAAGAACAUAUGUGUAAGUAACUGUGCACAUCUUGACGGUACCUAAUCAGAAAGCCACGGCUAACUACGUG
RNAcentral lists this ribosomal RNA (497 nucleotides) under uncultured bacterium. RNAcentral's name for it is "partial 16S ribosomal RNA". It matches the Rfam family "Bacterial small subunit ribosomal RNA", at positions 28 to 507 of the family's 1533-position model. The record is from RNAcentral.